AUGCUUCUCACAAACGCGACCCUCUCCCUCAACACGGACAAAACCGAACCCUAAACGCCUCUCCGUCGCGAACUUCUCCCUCUUUGCAACAAAGCCCUAAACGCCUCUCCACGAAUCCCCUCUCUCCGAUGCCUCUCGGCGAACCUUCCUUCCUCUGCGACGAAAUCCUUUCUACUACCACCGGUGACUUUGUUCUUCCGCCUCGUUGUUCAGAGUUUUCAAGGUUAAAUCGGUUUUCCUUUCGAUUCUAGUCUUCUCAUUCUUCAAUAGAUUCUGAUUCUAAUUUUCCUUUUGUUUUGCUUCAUUUUGCUUUCAGAGUUUUCAAGGGUUUUUCAACAGUUCUCUUCGUUGUUUCCGCCAUCAUUACGUUCAAGUCUUAAUCAAUAUGUAUCCCUAUUUCUUCAGUAAGUAGAUCCGAACUAUGUUUAUCUCAAUCUUAAUUUUCUAUGAUGUGUGAUACUGUGGUUUCUAAGCUUCGAUUUGGAAUCUGGUAGUUCUGUCCCGAAUUUGCGAUUAGACAAUUUUUUCCCACGUUCUUAAUGCUUGUAGAUUUCUCCACACAUUUAGUUAUCAGUAACUUAUUUAACACCAGUGAUAAUUUAUUCUAGUUAAAUAUAUGAAAUAAGGUAUAAAGAGGUGCUUUUGGUAAAGGUACUUUAAUCUACUGUUCAAUAUCCGCUAAUUUUUGUCAAAUAGAGUCAUACUCUCGUGGAAAUUUGUCUUUGAAAUAACCGAAAUCCCUAAUUUUAUCUUUACCAUUCUGAUUGUAGGAAACUCUCCAGUGUAUGUACAUGUUUUGGAUAUAGAGAUUGGGAACAUGUAGGAAAGCAUUCUAAAUCUGAAUUACCACUUUUGAUGGUUAU
Molecule: long non-coding RNA, 863 nt
Filed under: Trifolium pratense (red clover)
Lineage: Eukaryota; Viridiplantae; Streptophyta; Magnoliopsida; Fabales; Fabaceae
Description: long non-coding RNA (TPRA_LNC004341)
Source: RNAcentral